This 283-nucleotide ribosomal RNA is filed under the name Phascolarctobacterium succinatutens YIT 12067. RNAcentral describes it as "partial 16S ribosomal RNA". It matches the Rfam family "Bacterial small subunit ribosomal RNA", at positions 493 to 776 of the family's 1533-position model. The record is from RNAcentral. Lineage: Bacteria; Bacillati; Bacillota; Negativicutes; Acidaminococcales; Acidaminococcaceae.
UCUCUUUAUUGUGUGCCAGCCGCCGCGGUAAUACGUAGGUGGCGAGCGUUGUCCGGAAUUAUUGGGCGUAAAGAGCAUGUAGGCGGUUUUUUAAGUCUGGAGUGAAAAUGCGGGGCUCAACCCCGUAUGGCUCUGGAUACUGGAAGACUUGAGUGCAGGAGAGGAAAGGGGAAUUCCCAGUGUAGCGGUGAAAUGCGUAGAUAUUGGGAGGAACACCAGUGGCGAAGGCGCCUUUCUGGACUGUGUCUGACGCUGAGAUGCGAAAGCCAGGGUAGCGAACGGG